GUGUUAGUGGAAGCGUCUGGAAAGGCGCGCGAUACAGGGUGACAGCCCCGUACACAAAAAUGCACAUACUGUGAGCUCGAUGAGUAGGGCGGGACACGUGGUAUCCUGUCUGAAUAUGGGGGGACCAUCCUCCAAGGCUAAAUACUCCUGACUGACCGAUAGUGAACCAGUACCGUGAGGGAAAGGCGAAAAGAACCCCGGCGAGGGGAGUGAAAAAGAACCUGAAACCGUGUACGUACAAGCAGUGGGAGCCUCUUAAUGGGGUGACUGCGUACCUUUUGUAUAAUGGGUCAGCGACUUAUAUUCUGUAGCAAGGUUAACCGAAUAGGGGAGCCGAAGGGAAACCGAGUCUUAACUGGGCGUUAAGUUGCAGGGUAUAGACCCGAAACCCGGUGAUCUAGCCAUGGGCAGGUUGAAGGUUGGGUAACACUAACUGGAGGACCGAACCGACUAAUGUUGAAAAAUUAGCGGAUGACUUGUGGCUGGGGGUGAAAGGCCAAUCAAACCGGGAGAUAGCUGGUUCUCCCCGAAAGCUAUUUAGGUAGCGCCUCGUGAAUUCAUCUCCGGGGGUAGAGCACUGUUUCGGCAAGGGGGUCAUCCCGACUUACCAACCCGAUGCAAACUGCGAAUACCGGAGAAUGUUAUCACGGGAGACACACGGCGGGUGCUAACGUCCGUCGUGAAGAGGGAAACAACCCAGACCGCCAGCUAAGGUCCCAAAGUCAUGGUUAAGUGGGAAACGAUGUGGGAAGGCCCAGACAGCCAGGAUGUUGGCUUAGAAGCAGCCAUCAUUUAAAGAAAGCGUAAUAGCUCACUGGUCGAGUCGGCCUGCGCGGAAGAUGUAACGGGGCUAAACCAUGCACCGAAGCUGCGGCAGCGACACUAUGUGUUGUUGGGUAGGGGAGCG
This 907-nucleotide ribosomal RNA is filed under the name Escherichia coli. RNAcentral's name for it is "partial 23S ribosomal RNA". It matches the Rfam family "Bacterial large subunit ribosomal RNA", at positions 326 to 1238 of the family's 2925-position model. The record is from RNAcentral. Lineage: Bacteria; Pseudomonadati; Pseudomonadota; Gammaproteobacteria; Enterobacterales; Enterobacteriaceae.